AUUACCUGUGUGAUUACAUAGCAACUGUAACCUGUGCUAGAUUGAACUUUUGGCAAUAGUGAAGAACUCUCCGGUACGUUAUAGAUUCGGCUGUGAAAGGUGUUAUAUAGAGUUUUCCUCCAAGAGGGGUGGGAGAAGUUACAUAGAAGCCCCA
Non-coding RNA from Ciona intestinalis (vase tunicate), 154 nucleotides. The record is from RefSeq and is a predicted model, not a curated record. NCBI's taxonomy places the organism in Eukaryota, Metazoa, Chordata, Ascidiacea, Phlebobranchia, Cionidae.